GAGAGAGGCGCAUCAGGACUGUUGUAGCUGCUAGCCUAACUGUUCAUAGUUCAGUGUUCCUUGUCCCGCUCUUACUCUAAUGUGUAUUUGCAUCUGAGGCCAGCAACAAAGGAAUUUCCUCAUGAGUUGAGAAGAGAGACUCCAAAAUUAUGACAAUGAGUUUCUUUGGAAAAUUCAAGAACCUACACAGUGGGCCUCCAGCUCCACCCAAAAGAAUAGGGA
Non-coding RNA from Salvelinus sp. IW2-2015, 222 nucleotides. NCBI's taxonomy places the organism in Eukaryota, Metazoa, Chordata, Actinopteri, Salmoniformes, Salmonidae. The record is from RefSeq and is a predicted model, not a curated record.